This is a long non-coding RNA of Physeter macrocephalus (sperm whale), 2871 nucleotides long. RefSeq lists it as uncharacterized. The record is from RefSeq and is a predicted model, not a curated record. NCBI's taxonomy places the organism in Eukaryota, Metazoa, Chordata, Mammalia, Artiodactyla, Physeteridae. The transcript has 5 exons.
UGAACUGAAUGUAAUGAUUCAAUCUCCUACUGGAUGGCACAGGAUACAAAGGGUAAACUCCUAGAAAGUUAACAAUCUGGUAACUUCCCAGAACCUGUCUAAUCCUAACUUCUCGAACAGGCAGGUGGAGUCCUAACUUCUCAAACAGGCAGGUGGAGUCUGGUCUGAUACCUUUAGCACUACUAAGAAAAGCUGUAAAAGGUACAGCCCUGUUGGCAUUUCCCUCGGUGCUUCCCGGGUUCCAGCGGCACAUACUCCGCAGGUGUUAAGCAGUAAAGGAGGGGGAGAAAGGGACUCAAACAGCGUUCCAACAAACUCAACCACAUUUCAACCCAGCCAGCGCAGUAAGAUGCAGCCUGACGAGGCCUACCCCGCAGAGCAGAACCUCCCACCCGCAGAAGUGCCAGCAGCCAGUGUAAUGAACGCUUCCGUCAACAACACACAUUCCCCUUCCCACAGCAGAUCUGCUCGACACCGGGGCUUGGACCAGGCCGCACUGCACCAACCUAAGAACCAUUCUCAGACCCACAAAGGCCAAGAACUGCUGGAGACUGCCGUUCCUCUGCGCUUGGUGUGGGAGAGCAACAUCUCCCACCAAUGGAAAGAAAGAAAAGAAAACAACAACAAAAAACCCCCCAAAACAAAAAAACCAAAAAACAGUGAAGAGGAGAAAAAAACCAGGCCUGGGCGAGACCGCUGGAGAAAUAAACCUCGUUUCUCUGCAAUGGGGAGCAACAGCAUUUCCUGCCCUCUUUCUGAACAGACGCACUCGACUUCAUUCCCUCCUGAGAUCCUCAAAGGAGAUUAAAAAACCACCUUACGGUCCGAUUCAUUCAUAUUUGGGCCUCGGUCCUCGACCGACCCACUCCUGAAACCUCUGGCAUUGUGAAGGAAGGCGCCCCCAGAUCGGCUGUAGGACGAGAAGCGAGGGCCAGUCCAGGGGCCCAGUUACUAAGAUCAAGCAGCUCGGGCAAGAAGAAAAUCCCCAUGAGGCCUGACAGUAAAGUCUGAGUCAGCAGCAAGGGCACGGACCCGGGUCCGGCCAAGCAGGGCUCCAGGGCAGGCCUGCGGAGGUGACACUUCCCUGCUUGCUCCCCGGGCAGGUCCGGGAGGCGGCGUCCGGCCGCGCCGGCCCGCAUCCAGGAAGCCGGGCCGGAGGGCCGACGCGGGGACGCGGCCGGCGGGAGGCCUGGCCGGCAGCACCACCGCCCCCCCGCGCCGCUCCCGCCUCCUUCCCCACUCCCACUUCCCGGCCCUCCAGCCCGGGCCCGUGAGGUAAGGUCGGGGGCGGCGACGCGGGUCUCGGCCACUGACCACACAUUUCUUGCCCAGGAAGGUGAAGAGGGACUCGUUCUCCUGCGGGAGGUCUGGAGCGAGAAGGCGUCUGGUCUCCGUGGCCGAGCUGCCCGUCUCUCUUCUGCGGACGCACACCUUUGCGGAGCUUCAGUGCAGACCCAGGUCAUCCUCCGCAGACGAGGUCGCAUUUCUGGGGCGCGACAGCCGGACGUUCACACCGCUUGUCAGAAAGAGCUCUCUGAAAGUGCACCUCAGGUGGGACUGGAACCCAGUUGCACCUCAGAUGGAACUUGAACUCACAAUCUUCCAACUGAAAACCACAACUCAUCUCAGGACUUAAUGAAGCUCAGGUUCUUUAUGCCUCGGCACAGAAGGAAUUCAGUGAGAGGCAAAGUGAUAGGGUCGUCUGUGUGGCAAGCCCUCCUUCAACAACCGGGUCAAGUAUUUACCACUUUGGUGAAGGCUGAAUUUCCCAGGCAGUGUCCUCUGCCUCUUGCUCUCCCAAAGGAAGAGAAGAAUGAUCAUCAGUGGCCAAUGGCAGUUGCAGAACCAACACCAAGAACCACCUUCACACUCAGGAGAGAACACUAAGCUUCUUCCUCAGAGUUUCGAGUGCUCUACACAUUCAGAGAAACUUCUCUCAUAAUGAACUAUAGAAAUGAUCCCUGAAAACAUAGUCUUUGAAAUUUCUAUUUUCGGUGCAGGCAGUUCCUGACUUACGGUGGUUCCACGAUUUUUCAGCUUUACAAUGAUGCAAAAACAAUAUUCAUCCAGUGGAAACCGUACUUCAAGUUUUGAAUUUUGAUCUUUUCCUGGGCUAGUGAUUUGCCCUAAGAUACUCUCUUGUGAUGCUGGGCAGUGGCAAUGCUGCAGCUCCCAGUCAGCCACACAAUCACGCGGGUAAACAACUCGUUCACUUACAACUAUUCUGUGCCCAUACAGCCAUUCUGUUUUUUUUCUUUUCCUUACAGUAUUCAAUAAAUUACAUGUGACAUUUCAACAUUUUAUUACAAAACAGUCUUUGUGUUAGAUGAUUUUGCCCAACAGUAGGCUAAUGUACGUGUUCUGAGCACAUUUAAGGGAGGCUGCACUAAGCUGUGAUGUACAGUAGGUUAGGUAGAUUAAUGCAGUUUCAACUUAACAAUAUUUUCAACUUAUAAUGGGCUUAUUGAGACUUAAUCCACCAUAAACUGAGAAAGAUCUGUGUUAUACUUCUCUUGAGUCUAUAUAGGGCAAUUGCUACAUAUGUAGGGUGUACAUAUAAUUUAUUUUCUAAAUUGGAGCAAAACCGAGAAAUAAAAGGUGCACUAGGCCCUAGGACAGUGUGUGUAAUUGUGACUGUCCCCAGCACACCAAAAUAUCUCGUCACCCUAUAGACAUGUAUUGGAGAAGCACAUUUCUUUCCGUGGUUUUUGUGUCCUGAAGGGAAAGAAAUUUCCAGAAUAGUAUGGUAGAAACACUUUUAUCUUUUCUCUGCCUCUUCCCUUAUCUCUCCCCAGAAGAGGAGGAGAUUGAUGAGUCUGGGAGACAACUGAGCACGUAAUCUCCAAGUACAACCACUGCCAAAGCAACCAA